CGGCAACGGAUAUCUCGGCUCUCGCAUCGAUGAAGAAUGUAGCGAAAUGCGAUACUUGGUGUGAAUUGCAGAAUCCCGUGAACCAUCGAGUCUUUGAACGCAAGUUGCGCCCGAAGCCAUCAGGCCGAGGGCACGCCUGCCUGGGCGUCACACGCCGUUGCCCCC
RNAcentral lists this ribosomal RNA (165 nucleotides) under Malus toringoides. Its description in RNAcentral is "5.8S ribosomal RNA". The stretch from base 3 to 150 matches the Rfam family "5.8S ribosomal RNA". Rfam says of the family: 5.8S ribosomal RNA (5.8S rRNA) is a component of the large subunit of the eukaryotic ribosome. It is transcribed by RNA polymerase I as part of the 45S precursor that also contains 18S and 28S rRNA. Lineage: Eukaryota; Viridiplantae; Streptophyta; Magnoliopsida; Rosales; Rosaceae. The record is from RNAcentral.